UACGAAGGGGGCGAGCGUUGUUCGGAUUUACUGGGCGUAAAGGGCGCGCAGGCGGCUCAUUUUGUCAGGCGUGAAAGCCCCGGGCUUAACCUGGGAACUGCGUUUGAUACGGAUGGGCUAGAGUUCGGGAGAGGAGAGUGGAAUUCCCAGUGUAGAGGUGAAAUUCGUAGAUAUUGGGAAGAACACCGGUGGCGAAGGCGGCUCUCUGGACCGAGACUGACGCUGAGUGAGCGAAAGCCAGGGGAGCAAACGGG
Molecule: ribosomal RNA, 254 nt
Filed under: uncultured bacterium
Lineage: Bacteria
Description: partial 16S ribosomal RNA
Rfam family: Bacterial small subunit ribosomal RNA
Source: RNAcentral